Hippocampus comes (tiger tail seahorse) is the source of this 1168-nucleotide long non-coding RNA. RefSeq lists it as uncharacterized. Lineage: Eukaryota; Metazoa; Chordata; Actinopteri; Syngnathiformes; Syngnathidae. The transcript is spliced from 2 exons. The record is from RefSeq and is a predicted model, not a curated record.
CAAUUUCCGUGUAGUGCCGGCGGCAAGUGUAACAAACUGCACAGUGUAAGAGGAAUCUCUUCAAGUUUUUACACAUCCUCGUCUUGCCCAAGCACGACCUGUCGCAGGGGCGUUAAAUCAAAAUCGUAUAGUAAACCAGUAACCGUGUUCAUUUUGUGUACGCCUUUUCCGCCGAUCUUAAUCUAUAAUCCAAAUCUUCUUAAAGCGAACAAACAUGAAUUGGGACUUUGCUUUGUUGAGAACGGUGUAGCUGUUUCACUUUCAACGCGUUUAUUUACUUUUAGCUGCAACACUGCUGUGAUCGUGUGCUGGGUUGAGCUUUUUGUGAACCAUAGAUUGAACACUUCAAGUUUGAAUCAUUUGGCUGCUAAAUUUGUUUUAUAAAUCGUCUGACGCGAACAACAACAAAAAAAAACGGACAUUUUAAUUCUCCAUACACUUGAUUUGGCACACAAUGUAAUUCUGUUAAGACACUAAUGUUUAGCUUCAACACUCCGUGCGUAAAUAUCGUUGUAGUUUGCUACUUCUAAUAUCAUCCCAACCAACAUAUUUGGAAAACAGCAGACUCACCCAAAAGAGGAAAUUAAAUAUGAAGAGCAGAUAUUUGACCACGGGGCUGACAAACGAGAAGUCUUCAUCGUAACGUCCAGAGUCUAAAAUGAAAUGAAAGAAAAAAAAAACUUCGAAAAAGAAGAGGUCCAAAGUGAGAGACCAUGCAGCCGUUACCAAGGCGACCAAGUGACGUCGGCCAAUGAAAAGCCCUCACGCAACCCAGGGGGUGUGGCUUGUGUCAUCCCGAUAUGGCCACCCGUUCGACACACUCUCACUUUGUCUGUGACAGGAAAACAAGGUGAUGUCACCUAAUACAACAAUGUGAAUAAUUGGUCUUUGAACGCCUCUCUGCACAAUUCCCAGCUGCGGAGAAGACAAAAAAAAAAAAACAACAACCCCUCAAUAGAGUUUUAGACUCGUCAGUCCUGUCAGCAAAGUAAAGGCUCAUUAAAGCUGCGCACACAAACACACACUCAUUUACAUGCAUGCUUGCACGACUCAUUGUGAUCUUAAAAUAAAAAAAAAAAUCAAUAAACGGACUCGUAUGUGUCUUGACUCAAAUUUCGGACGGCAGAUAGUUCGUUUUCAUUAACGGCGAACAAAUAGUGGUGAGAAA